RNAcentral lists this ribosomal RNA (301 nucleotides) under uncultured bacterium. Its description in RNAcentral is "partial 16S ribosomal RNA". It matches the Rfam family "Bacterial small subunit ribosomal RNA", at positions 509 to 807 of the family's 1533-position model. The record is from RNAcentral.
CAGUAGCCGCGGUAAUACGUAGGUGGCAAGCGUUGUCCGGAAUUAUUGGGCGUAAAGGGCUCGCAGGCGGUAUCUUAAGUCUGAUGUGAAAGCCCCCGGCUCAACCGGGGAGGGUCAUUGGAAACUGGGAAACUUGAGUGCAGAAGAGGAGAGUGGAAUUCCACGUGUAGCGGUGAAAUGCGUAGAGAUGUGGAGGAACACCAGUGGCGAAGGCGGCUCUCUGGUCUGUAACUGACGCUGAGGAGCGAAAGCGUGGGGAGCGAACAGGAUUAGAUACCCGUGUAGUCCCUGUCUCUUAUAC